AGAGUUUGAUCCUGGCUCAAAAUCAACGCUGGCGGCGUGCCUCAGACAUGCAAGUCGAACGCGAAAGGUUCCUUCGGGAGCCGAGUAGAGUGGCGCACGGGUGAGUAACACGUAGGUAAUUUGCCUUUGGGUGGGGAAUAACUCAGGGAAACUUGAGCUAAUACCGCAUAAUGCAGCGGCUCGACAUCGAGACAGUUGUUAGAGCGGGGGAUUCGCAAGAACCUCGCGCCUAAAGAGAAGCCUGCGGCAGAUUAGCUAGUUGGUAGGGUAAUGGCCUACCAAGGCGACUAUCUGUAACCGGCCUGAGAGGGCGGUCGGUCACACUGACACUGACAUACGGGUCACACUCCUACGGGAGGCAGCAGUCGGGAAUUUUGGGCAGUGGGCGAAAGCCUGACCCAGCAACGCCGCGUGAAAGAUGAUAUUUUUCGGAAUGUAAACUUCGCAAGAACGGGAAGAAUAAGUAGAAGGUAACAUCUUCUAUGAUGACGGUACCGUUUUGUAAGCUCCGGCUAACUCCGUGCCAGCAGCCGCGGUAAUACGG
RNAcentral lists this ribosomal RNA (544 nucleotides) under uncultured bacterium. Its description in RNAcentral is "bacterial SSU rRNA". It matches the Rfam family "Bacterial small subunit ribosomal RNA", at positions 8 to 528 of the family's 1533-position model. The record is from RNAcentral.